RNAcentral lists this ribosomal RNA (214 nucleotides) under uncultured bacterium. RNAcentral's name for it is "partial 16S ribosomal RNA". It matches the Rfam family "Bacterial small subunit ribosomal RNA", at positions 568 to 776 of the family's 1533-position model. The record is from RNAcentral.
UGCGUAGGUGGUGGGGUAAGUCGGAUGUGAAAUCUCCGAGCUCAACUCGGAAAUGGCAUUGGAAACUACCCUGCUAGAGGGUCGGAGGGGGGACGUGGAAUACUUGGUGUAGCAGUGAAAUGCGUAGAUAUCAAGUGGAACACCAGUGGCGAAGGCGAGUCCCUGGACGACUCCUGACACUGAGGCACGAAAAGGCUAGGGGAAGGCAAACCAA